CAGUCGCCGCGGUAAAACGAGGGGGGCAAGCGUUGUUCGGAAUUAUUGGGCGUAAAGGGUGCGUAGGCGGUUUGGCAAGUUUGGUGUGAAAUCUUCGGGCUCAACUCGAAGUCUGCAUCGAAAACUGCCGGGCUUGAGUAUGGGAGAGGUGAGUGGAAUUUCCUGUGUAGCGGUGAAAUGCGUAGAUAUAGGAAGGAACAUCAGUGGCGAAGGCGACCACCUGGACUGAUACUGACACUGAGGUGCGAAAGCGUGGGGAGCAAACAGGAUUAGAUACCCCAGUAGUCCUGUCUCUUAUACA
RNAcentral lists this ribosomal RNA (301 nucleotides) under uncultured bacterium. RNAcentral's name for it is "partial 16S ribosomal RNA". It matches the Rfam family "Bacterial small subunit ribosomal RNA", at positions 509 to 809 of the family's 1533-position model. The record is from RNAcentral.